Sardina pilchardus (European sardine) is the source of this 775-nucleotide long non-coding RNA. RefSeq lists it as uncharacterized. The record is from RefSeq and is a predicted model, not a curated record. The transcript has 4 exons. Lineage: Eukaryota; Metazoa; Chordata; Actinopteri; Clupeiformes; Clupeidae.
UUGUAUCUUGUCGAGGAGGACUACAGUACCAUUUAUUUUUGUAUUUUUGUAUUUCACCAAUUUCAGACUUCCUCUAUUGACAGAAGCAGAGAGAUGGUUUUGCAAGGGCUGAUUCGAUACCUGUGUGAGAAACCAGGAGACUUAAUCCAGGAGUACAGUUGAGAGGCAGCGGUUCAAGGAGACUUCAUCAGACCUCAAUCCAACAGAACAACUUUGGGAUGAAUCAGUGGAAACUGAGAGCCAGUCUCCUCAUCCAACAUCUGAGAGAUGCCUAUGCAGAGCGGGGACUUCCUCCAUUGACAGAAGCAGAGCGAUGGUUUUGCCAGGGCUGAUUCGAUACCUGUGUCAGAAACCAGGAGACUUAAUCCAGGAGUACAGUUGAGAGGCAGCGGUUCAAGAAGACUUCAUCAGACCUCAAUCCAACAGAACACCUUUGGGAUGAAUCAGUGGAAACUGAGAGCCAGUCUCCUCAUCCAACAUCAGUGUGUGACCUCACAAAUACGCUUCUGGAAGAAUGGUCGAAAAUUCAAAUGAACACACUCCUAAACCUUGUGGAAAGCCUUCCCAGAAGAAUAGAAACUUUUAUACUGUAGCUGCAAAGGGUGGACCAACGUCAUAUGGAUUAAGAAUGGGAUGUCACUCAAGUUCAUAUGCGAGUCAAGGCAGGCAACUCAGUACUUUGGCCAAUAUAGGCUAGUGUAGUGAGUAGAACGAUGCUGCGGUCGUCUUGGAAGGUCAUCUUUUGUAUGUCAGGUUAAAUGUACACUGAAUAAAU